ACGGACUUAAGCAAAGCACUGUGUGCUUUGGGAUCGACAAAGGUUGGUUGCCAAGGGGAACAAAUGUGCAGAACAAAGCACAGAGUGCUUUGCUUAAGUUAGUGGCGGACGGGUGAGUAACGCGUGAGCAAUCUGCCCUUCAGUGGGGAAUAACAGUGGGAAACCGCUGCUAAUACCGCAUAAAGUACGAGAGUGGCAUCACUUUUGUACCAAAGGAGUAAUUCGCUGAAGGAUGAGCUCGCGUCUGAUUAGAUAGUUGGUGAGGUAACGGCUCACCAAGUCGACGAUCAGUAGCCGGACUGAGAGGUUGAACGGCCACAUUGGGACUGAGAUACGGCCCAGACUCCUACGGGAGGCAGCAGUGGGGAAUAUUGGGCAAUGGGCGAAAGCCUGACCCAGCAACGCCGCGUGAAGGAAGAAGGCUUUCGGGUUGUAAACUUCUUUUAUGUGGGAAGAAAAAAAUGACGGUACCACAUGAAUAAGCCACGGCUAACUACGUGCCAGCAGCCGCGGUAAUACGUAGGUGGCAAGCGUUGUCCGGAUUUACUGGGUGUAAAGGGCGCGUAGGCGGGACUGUAAGUCUGAUGUGAAAUACCCCGGCUCAACCGGGGGGCUGCAUUGGAAACUAUGGUUCUUGAGUGACGGA
This 646-nucleotide ribosomal RNA is filed under the name uncultured bacterium. RNAcentral describes it as "bacterial SSU rRNA". It matches the Rfam family "Bacterial small subunit ribosomal RNA", at positions 1 to 653 of the family's 1533-position model. The record is from RNAcentral.